GUAACUUACAAGAUGAUAAUUAAUGUGGUUGCCGAUGAUUCUGAAUAAAUACAGCUUUUAUCUCAGGUGUGCCAUUUUGAAGACUGAGACCAUAGAGUUUUAAGAAUAAAGGAGAGAGCCCUUGGGAAAUUCUGUAUUAUAUAUAGCAACUUUAAAAAAUUAACAUGACCAAAGAUGUUGCAGCUAGUCACCAGUCUUUUUGGAUCAUAACGUGACAUAGAUUUUAGCAUAUGAAAUAGAAAUGUGAAUCCUCAGAUGGAAUGAAAGGCCUGUACCAUAGACAUCUAAGCAUUUACACCCCGCUUGAAGAGUUUGAAAUGGACUUUACCACUGAGAAAUCAAGAUGGCAGCCCAUUAUGGGGAAUUGAGGAAAAUGGAUUAAUGCAAGAAUGCUGUAAUAUUAUACAACCAACACAGGAUUCUUUUAAUGUGGAU
RNAcentral lists this long non-coding RNA (435 nucleotides) under Mus caroli (Ryukyu mouse). Its description in RNAcentral is "CHD2 adjacent suppressive regulatory RNA (MGP_CAROLIEiJ_G0013799.1)". Lineage: Eukaryota; Metazoa; Chordata; Mammalia; Rodentia; Muridae. The record is from RNAcentral.